ACACAGGGGAGGUGUUAUCAGUGAUCAAUAUCAUUCUGUGUGUAAGUUUUUAUACAUAGAAAGCUAUCAGUCACUGAUCGUUGUACACAGAGGAGGUGUUAUCAGUGAUUGAGAGCAUUCUGUGUGUAAGUGUGUACAUACAUAGAAAGCUGUCAGUCACUGAUA
Bufo bufo (common toad) is the source of this 165-nucleotide long non-coding RNA. RefSeq lists it as uncharacterized. The transcript is spliced from 3 exons. NCBI's taxonomy places the organism in Eukaryota, Metazoa, Chordata, Amphibia, Anura, Bufonidae. The record is from RefSeq and is a predicted model, not a curated record.